GGCGAACGCUGGCGGCGUGCCUAACACAUGCAAGUCGUGCGACGGCUCGCCCCAAAAGGGCGGGUACGGAGCGGCAAACGGGUGAGUAACACGUAGCUAACCUGCCCGUCCGACGGGGAUAACCCCUCGAAAGGGAGGCUAAUACCCGACGGUCUCCCCGGGGCGGAAGCUUUGGGGAGUAAAGGCGCCGGGCGACCGGCGCCGCGGACGGAGGGGGCUGCGGCCCAUCAGCUAGUUGGUGGGGUAAUGGCCCACCAAGGCGAUGACGGGUAGGGGGCCUGAGAGGGUGGCCCCCCACACGGGGACUGAGACACGGCCCCGACUCCUACGGGAGGCAGCAGUGGGGAAUCUCGGGCAAUGCCCGCAAGGGUGACCCAGCGACGCCGCGUGCGGGAAGAAGCCCUUCGGGGUGUAAACCGCUUUUCUGGGGGAAGAAUAAGGCGGGGAGGAUAAUGCCCCGCCGAUGACGGUACCCCAGGAAUAAGGGACGGCUAACUACGUGCCAGCAGCCGCGGUAAGACGUAGGUCCCGAGCGUUGCCCGGAUUUACUGGGCGUAAAGUGCGCGUAGGCGGUUCAGGAAGUCCCCUGUGAAAGCCCGGGGCUCAACCCCGGGAGGCCGGGGGAUACUCCUGGGCUAGAGGACGGCAGAGGAGGGUGGAGCGGCCGGAGUAGCGGUGAAAUGCGUAGAUACCGGCCGAAAUCCCGAUGGCGAAGGCAACCCUCUGGGCCGGUCCUGACGCUGAGGCGCGAAAGCGUGGGGAGCGAACC
This 769-nucleotide ribosomal RNA is filed under the name uncultured Acetothermia bacterium. Its description in RNAcentral is "bacterial SSU rRNA". It matches the Rfam family "Bacterial small subunit ribosomal RNA", at positions 28 to 774 of the family's 1533-position model. Lineage: Bacteria; Candidatus Bipolaricaulota. The record is from RNAcentral.